Mus pahari (shrew mouse) is the source of this 1283-nucleotide RNA transcript. It is a transcript of the gene named alpha-enolase pseudogene, with no coding region annotated. Lineage: Eukaryota; Metazoa; Chordata; Mammalia; Rodentia; Muridae. The transcript has a single exon. The record is from RefSeq and is a predicted model, not a curated record.
UGCCAGAAGUUUACCAUGUCUAUUCUCAGGAUCCAUGCCAGAGAGAUCUUUGACUCCCAUGGGAAUCCCACUGUUGAAGUGGAUCUGUGGUCUUUUGUGGUCAAAAGGUCUCUUCCGAGAUAUGGUGCCCAGCGGUGCGUCCACUGGCAUCUACGAGGCACUAGAACUCCGAGACAAUGGCACGACCCGCUUCAUGGGGAAGGGUGUCUCACAGGCUGUUGAACACAUCCAUAACACUAUUGUACCUGCUCUGGUUAGCAAGAAAGUGAAUGUUGUGGAGCAAAAGAUUGACAAGCUGAUGAUCAAGAUGGACGGCACUGAGAAUAAAUCUAAAUUUGGUGCAAAUGCCAUCCUGGGAGUAUCCCUGGCUGUCUGUAAAGCUGGUGCUGUGGAAAAGGGGGUGCCCCUUUACUGUCACAUUGCUGACUUGGCCAGCAAUCCUCAAGUCAUUCUGCCGGUCCCAGCUUUCAAUGUGAUCAAUGGUGGUUCUCAUGCUGGCAACAAGCUGACCAUGCAGAAGUUCAUGAUCCUGCCUGUGGGGGCAUCCAGCUUCCAGGAAGCCAUGCACAUUGGAGCAGAGGUUUACCACAACCUGAAGAAUGUCAUCAAGGAGAAGUACGGGAAGGACAUCACCAGUGUGGGUGAUGAGGGUGGAUUUGCACCUAACAUCCUGGAGAACCAAGAAGCACUGUUGCUGCUCAAGACUGCAAUUGCAAAGGCCGGCAUCACUGACCAGGUUGUCAUCAGCAUGGAUGUGGCUGCCUCUGAGUUCUACAGGUCUGGCAAGUAUGACCUGGACUUCAAGUCUCCGGAUGACCCCAGCAGGUACAUCACACCUGACCAGCUGGCUGACCUGUACAAGUCCUUCAUCCAGGACUCCCCAGUGGUGUCCAUUGAAGACCCCUUUGACCAGGACGACUGGGGUGCCUGGCAGAAGUUCACGGCUGGUGCGGGCAUCCAGGUGGUGGGCUGUGGGAGAGAAGUCCUGCAACUGCCACCUGCUCAAAGUGAACCAGACUGGCUCUGUGACGCAGUCUCUGCAGGUGUGUAAGCUGGCCCAGUCCAAUGGCUGGGGCAUCACGGUGUCCCACCGAUCUAGGGAGACUGAGGUCACUUUUAUUGCCAACCUGGUGGUGGGGCUCUGCACUGGGCAGAUCAAGACUGGUGCCCCUUGCCGAUCUGAAAGCCUGGCCAAGUACAAUCAGAUCCUUAGAAUCGAGGAAGAGCUGGGCAGCAAAGCAGAGUUUGCUGGCAGGUCCUUCAGGAAGCCCCUGGCCAAGUAA